UACGGGGGGAGCAAGCGUUGUUCGGAUUUACUGGGCGUAAAGGGCGCGUAGGCGGUCAGCACAAGUCAGUUGUGAAAUCUCCGGGCUUAACCCGGAAAGGUCAACUGAUACUGUGCGACUAGAGUGCGGAAGGGGCAACUGGAAUUCUCGGUGUAGCGGUGAAAUGCGUAGAUAUCGAGAGGAACACCUGAGGUGAAGACGGGUUGCUGGGCUGACACUGACGCUGAGGCGCGAAAGCCAGGGGAGCAAACGGG
Molecule: ribosomal RNA, 254 nt
Filed under: uncultured bacterium
Lineage: Bacteria
Description: partial 16S ribosomal RNA
Rfam family: Bacterial small subunit ribosomal RNA
Source: RNAcentral